This 977-nucleotide long non-coding RNA is filed under the name Triticum aestivum (bread wheat). RNAcentral's name for it is "long non-coding RNA (TAES_LNC011162)". Lineage: Eukaryota; Viridiplantae; Streptophyta; Magnoliopsida; Poales; Poaceae. The record is from RNAcentral.
GGCGGGUGUGAGUUUGAUACUUUGAUUCAUGCCGAAGUUUGGUAGACUCUGAUAUGGACCAUGGUGGUGGUCAAUUUUGUCCAUUGAUCCAAGCGUAAGCUUACGCAUGGCUGAUUGCAAGGUGAGCAUACAUAGUUUUUUCCAUGAUCUUUUGAUGAGUGGAUGUUUGUCAAUCAUGUAGAAAGUGUAUACUCAACGAAACAAAAAUGCCAAAGUGACCUUUAGUCCCUUGUUUUAACAAAAAAGUGUAUGAAUGCUUGACUGUGUAUUAUCUGUGUGAAGUAAACUGAUCGACAACUAAAUGAAGUCGCAACAAUUAUUUUCUUGAUAUCACAACCUGUGAAAGAAAAGCGCAGUUAUUCGCCGUUAUUUGGAUACAUAUAGUACACAUAUUAUUAUAGUCUACUAUUGCAAAUUGAUAAUAUGACAUUAUAGUCUACUAAUAUGACAUUAUAGUCUACUAUUAAGAUGAUGAUUGUUCUACUUCUAAAUAUGAAUAUUGAUACUCCUCAAGGGUAUAGUUGUUUCGAAGAUUGAAGAUAGGAUAUCAGAGUUAUAUUCCAAAAGGAAUCGUUUGUCGCUGCAGGACUACUAUUUUGUAAUUCUAUGUAAUGUGUGUUGGUUGUUUACAUUCUUAGUGUUUCAGAGUAUCCAGGUUUUGAAGUAUGGGGCAAACCAAUGUGGCCAUAACAAGUAUGAAACCAACGACACUGUGGUGGCAAUAGGCUUAUAGCCAUUUAUGUUUUGUAGUUAAUCAAUGUACAUGAUGUUAAACUUCUGGAUCUUGUGUUAUUUUUGGAAUAAUCUGAAUCUUAAUUAUUUGCACUAUCCUGGACCGCGAAAAGGGCUCACUAUGUUGUGAAAUACAGCUAUGAACCCACAGUUACUAUGAUGUUGAGGUUUUAGUUGUACGAUAAUCUGGUCCUUCUGAGCAUAUGGCCUGAUGCAAGUUGCAAAUGUGAUAACUAAACAAUAGG